UGCGGAUGACAGCGGCCAGGGAGGUGAACUAUGUUGACAGACUUGCAGAUGAAUAUGCAGCCCAGUAUACGAAUACAUUUCCCAUCUGCGUGGCAAUGAAACAGCUUCAUAUAACUCAACAAAGGAGACAUUGAUUUAGUAAAGUGAGGAUGUAUCCAUCAGCACUAAGUUACAGCUGUUCUUAAUGGAUUUUAAAAUACAAAAGCUAUUUCACCUC
Lonchura striata (white-rumped munia) is the source of this 217-nucleotide long non-coding RNA. RefSeq lists it as uncharacterized. The record is from RefSeq and is a predicted model, not a curated record. Lineage: Eukaryota; Metazoa; Chordata; Aves; Passeriformes; Estrildidae.